Molecule: ribosomal RNA, 492 nt
Filed under: uncultured bacterium
Lineage: Bacteria
Description: partial 16S ribosomal RNA
Rfam family: Bacterial small subunit ribosomal RNA
Source: RNAcentral
AGUGAACGCUGGCGGUAGGCCUAACACAUGCAAGUCGAACGGCAGCACAGUAAGAGCUUGCUCUUACGGGUGGCGAGUGGCGGACGGGUGAGGAAUACAUCGGAAUCUACUUUUUCGUGGGGGAUAACGUAGGGAAACUUACGCUAAUACCGCAUACGACCUACGGGUGAAAGCAGGGGAUCUUCGGACCUUGCGCGAUUGAAUGAGCCGAUGUCGGAUUAGCUAGUUGGCGGGGUAAAGGCCCACCAAGGCGACGAUCCGUAGCUGGUCUGAGAGGAUGAUCAGCCACACUGGAACUGAGACACGGUCCAGACUCCUACGGGAGGCAGCAGUGGGGAAUAUUGGACAAUGGGCGCAAGCCUGAUCCAGCCAUACCGCGUGGGUGAAGAAGGCCUUCGGGUUGUAAAGCCCUCUUGUCGGGAAAGAAAAGCAGCAGGUUAAUACCCCGCUGUUCUGACGGUACCCAAAGAAUAAGCACCGGCUAACUUCGUG